UGAAUACCUUAUUUAAUAGGUGCCCGCAAGGGAUAAUAGGGAACCAGGUUGUAAUCCUGGACGGACCCACCACUGUAAGUAGAUGUUGAAAAUGUACAUUUGCCACUGGGAAACUGGGAAGGCGUACAUUCUAGUCUAUAAGUCAGGAAACCUGCCUAUGAAAUAUUGCAAAA
RNAcentral lists this non-coding RNA (173 nucleotides) under Desulfosporosinus lacus. Lineage: Bacteria; Bacillati; Bacillota; Clostridia; Eubacteriales; Desulfitobacteriaceae. The record is from RNAcentral.